ACAGAGGCGGCAAGCGUUGUUCGGAAUUAUUGGGCGUAAAGAGCAUGUAGGCGGCUAUGUAAGUCGGUUGUGAAAGCCUUCCUCUUCCCUUAAGACUUUCUGUCGAAACUGCAUGGCUUGAGUGCGGGAGGGGAGAGUGGAACUUCUGGUGGAGCGGUGAAAUGCGUAGAUAUCAGAAGGAACGUCGGCGGCGAAAGCGACUCUCUAGUCCGUAACUGACGCUGAGUGUGCGAAAGCUAGGGGAGCAAACGG
This 252-nucleotide ribosomal RNA is filed under the name uncultured prokaryote. Its description in RNAcentral is "partial 16S ribosomal RNA". It matches the Rfam family "Bacterial small subunit ribosomal RNA", at positions 525 to 775 of the family's 1533-position model. The record is from RNAcentral.